Leptopilina heterotoma is the source of this 593-nucleotide long non-coding RNA. RefSeq lists it as uncharacterized. The transcript has 2 exons. The record is from RefSeq and is a predicted model, not a curated record. Lineage: Eukaryota; Metazoa; Arthropoda; Insecta; Hymenoptera; Figitidae.
GAAAAUGUAAAAGGUGAAGAAAGGAAACAGAAUAAAAAUAAGAAACAAAAUAUGCAGGAAGAAGAGGAUGAAAUUAAUGAGGAGGAAAUUCAGGAAGUUGAUACGAAGGAAAUCAAGAUGGAGGUUAAAAUGAAAAAAUUAAAUACGAAAAUGCAAGAAACAGAAGGGAAACAACUGCUGCCAGAAAUUUAAGAAGAAAGAAUAAGCAAAAAGCAAACGCUAGAGAAUUGCAGCAACUAAAAUUUAAUAAUAAUGGAAAGCAACGGUGGAAUAAUCGAACUGCUACACCAUAUGCUCGAUCAUAUCGACAAAGAUAUCCACCACAAGGAUUAUAUCCACAGACAGGCUAUCCAACACAAUUCUACCCGCAACAACAAAUGCCUUUUCCUAAUGCAUACAUACCACAAACGUAUUAUCAGCCACCUUACACAUCACAACCAUAUUAUCAACCACCAUACACACCACAAACAUUUUCCCAUCCACCAUACGCGACACAAACAUUUUACCCACCUCAAUCACCAUAUUCUCCGAGUUAUUAGGAAAUGUAUUUAUUGAAAAUAAAAAUAAAUAAAUAAAAUUUAAUAUUUAAAAUA